UGAGGAAUAUUGGUCAAUGGAGGCAACUCUGAACCAGCCAUGCCGCGUGCAGGAAGACUGCCCUAUGGGUUGUAAACUGCUUUUAUACGGGAAGAAACAGUCGUACGUGUACGGCCUUGACGGUACCGUAAGAAUAAGCACCGGCUAACUCCGUGCCAGCAGCCGCGGUAAUACGGAGGGUGCAAGCGUUAUCCGGAAUCAUUGGGUUUAAAGGGUCCGCAGGCGGUCAAUUAAGUCAGAGGUGAAAUCCUACAGCUUAACUGUAGAACUGCCUUUGAUACUGGUUGACUUGAGUUAUACGGAAGUAGAUAGAAUGUGUAGUGUAGCGGUGAAAUGCAUAGAUAUUACACAGAAUACCGAUUGCGAAGGCAGUCUACUACGUAUAUACUGACGCUCAUGGACGAAAGCCAGGGGAGCGAAAGGG
Molecule: ribosomal RNA, 424 nt
Filed under: uncultured bacterium
Lineage: Bacteria
Description: bacterial SSU rRNA
Rfam family: Bacterial small subunit ribosomal RNA
Source: RNAcentral